RNAcentral lists this ribosomal RNA (493 nucleotides) under uncultured bacterium. Its description in RNAcentral is "bacterial SSU rRNA". It matches the Rfam family "Bacterial small subunit ribosomal RNA", at positions 28 to 533 of the family's 1533-position model. The record is from RNAcentral.
GACGAACGCUGGCGGCGUGCUUAAAACAUGCAAGUCGAACGGACUUCUCAUGAAGCUUGCAAUUGAGAAGUUAGUGGCGGACGGGUGAGUAACGCGUGGGCAACCUGCCCCUGAGCCCGGGAUAACAGUUCGAAAGGACUGCUAAGACCGGAUAUACUUGCGGGGAAGCAUUUCUCUGUAAGGAAAGGGAACGCUCAGGGAUGGGCCCGCGUCCCAUUAGCUAGUUGGUGAGGUAACGGCCCACCAAGGCGACGAUGGGUAGCCGGCCUGAGAGGGUGAACGGCCACACUGGGACUGAGACACGGCCCAGACUCCUACGGGAGGCAGCAGUUGGGAAUCUUCGGCAAUGGGCGCAAGCCUGACCGAGCAACGCCGCGUGAGUGAUGAAGGUUUUCGGAUUGUAAAGCUCUGUCUUCCGGGACGAUAAUGACGGUACCGGAGGAGGAGCCACGGCUAACUACGUGCCAGCAGCCGACGGUAAACACGAAGAGUA